This 459-nucleotide ribosomal RNA is filed under the name Bacillus paralicheniformis. RNAcentral's name for it is "bacterial SSU rRNA". It matches the Rfam family "Bacterial small subunit ribosomal RNA", at positions 92 to 535 of the family's 1533-position model. The record is from RNAcentral. Lineage: Bacteria; Bacillati; Bacillota; Bacilli; Caryophanales; Bacillaceae.
UCAGCGGCGGACGGGUGAGUAACACGUGGGUAACCUGCCUGUAAGACUGGGAUAACUCCGGGAAACCGGGGCUAAUACCGGAUGCUUGAUUGAACCGCAUGGUUCAAUCAUAAAAGGUGGCUUUUAGCUACCACUUACAGAUGGACCCGCGGCGCAUUAGCUAGUUGGUGAGGUAACGGCUCACCAAGGCGACGAUGCGUAGCCGACCUGAGAGGGUGAUCGGCCACACUGGGACUGAGACACGGCCCAGACUCCUACGGGAGGCAGCAGUAGGGAAUCUUCCGCAAUGGACGAAAGUCUGACGGAGCAACGCCGCGUGAGUGAUGAAGGUUUUCGGAUCGUAAAACUCUGUUGUUAGGGAAGAACAAGUACCGUUCGAAUAGGGCGGUACCUUGACGGUACCUAACCAGAAAGCCACGGCUAACUACGUGCCAGCAGCCGCGGUAAUACGUAGGUGGC